This 253-nucleotide ribosomal RNA is filed under the name uncultured bacterium. RNAcentral's name for it is "partial 16S ribosomal RNA". It matches the Rfam family "Bacterial small subunit ribosomal RNA", at positions 524 to 776 of the family's 1533-position model. The record is from RNAcentral.
GACGAACCGGACGAACGUUAUUCGGAAUCAUUGGGCUUAAAGUGUGCGUAGGCGGCCCUGUAGGUGAGGUGUGAAAUCCCACGGCUCAACCGUGGAACUGCGCUUCAAACCACAAGGCUUGAGUGAGGCAGAGGUAAGCGGAACUGAUGGUGGAGCGGUGAAAUGCGUUGAUAUCAUCAGGAACACCGGUGGCGAAGGCGGCUUACUGGGCCUUGGCUGACGAUGAGACACGAAAGAUAGGGGAGCAAACGGG